This 470-nucleotide long non-coding RNA is filed under the name Mytilus galloprovincialis (Mediterranean mussel). The record is from RNAcentral. Lineage: Eukaryota; Metazoa; Mollusca; Bivalvia; Mytilida; Mytilidae.
GUCAUUUAUCAGAUUAAGUUAGUUCGAUGUAGGUUUUUAAUGAUUAUAAUAAUUGCAAAAUUAAUCUGUUAUUAUUAAGUAACUUUGACUGCAAGUGUUUAUUGUCCAGUUGCAAGUAUUUCAUAUUCGUUUAGAGCGAACAUACACAUAGUUCUGGAGUUGAAUUAAUCGUUAACUUUGUUAAUUAUUUUGUACUUAUAAACUCCGAUGAUGCCUUUUAUAUUUAUCCGAAUAUUGCAUGGCGGGGUUUUAACAGUAUUUUUUUUUUACUUUUGUCAAUAGUUUGUGUGUAUUUCAAAAGCCCAUCAAAUUAUAAACUUGUUAUCCGGGUUUUUAAUAAAUUUUAGGUUUCCACCAUCACUAAAGACACAUGAUAAGAAACAUAACGUCCAGUGCCAAAUAUUUCAUGCAUAAGUUUUAUAGAUUCUUUUUUUUAUGAAUAUUACUGUUAUGUGAUCAACGCCGGUUUU